UAGGGAAUCUUCGGCAAUGGACGAAAGUCUGACCGAGCAACGCCGCGUGAGUGAAGAAGGUUUUCGGAUCGUAAAACUCUGUUGUUAGAGAAGAACAAGGACGUUAGUAACUGAACGUCCCCUGACGGUAUCUAACCAGAAAGCCACGGCUAACUACGUGCCAGCAGCCGCGGUAAUACGUAGGUGGCAAGCGUUGUCCGGAUUUAUUGGGCGUAAAGCGAGCGCAGGCGGUUUCUUACGUCUGAUGUGAAAGCCCCCGGCUCAACCGGGGAGGGUCAUUGGAAACUGGGAGACUUGAGUGCAGAAGAGGAGAGUGGAAUUCCAUGUGUAGCGGUGAAAUGCGUAGAUAUAUGGAGGAACACCAGUGGCGAAGGCGGCUCUCUGGUCUGUAACUGACGCUGAGGCUCGAAAGCGUGGGGAGCAAACAGG
Molecule: ribosomal RNA, 429 nt
Filed under: Chloroflexota bacterium
Lineage: Bacteria; Bacillati; Chloroflexota
Also listed under: 1 other name
Description: Chloroflexi bacterium partial 16S ribosomal RNA
Rfam family: Bacterial small subunit ribosomal RNA
Source: RNAcentral